This 408-nucleotide ribosomal RNA is filed under the name uncultured bacterium. RNAcentral's name for it is "bacterial SSU rRNA". It matches the Rfam family "Bacterial small subunit ribosomal RNA", at positions 28 to 431 of the family's 1533-position model. The record is from RNAcentral.
GACGAACGCUGGCGGCGUGCCUAACACAUGCAAGUCGUACGGGACCGGGGGCAACUCCGGUUCAGUGGCAGACGGGUGCGUAACACGUGAGGAACUUGUCCGGUGGCGGGGGAUAGCCGGCCCAACGGCCGGGUAAUACCGCAUACGCUCGUUCGGGGGCAUCCCUGGGCGAGGAAAGCAGCCGCAAGGUUGCGCCGACGGAGGGCCUCGCGACCUAUCAGCUUGUUGGCGGGGUAACGGCCCACCAAGGCUACGACGGGUAGCUGGUCUGAGAGGAUGAUCAGCCACAUUGGGACUGAGACACGGCCCAGACUCCUACGGGAGGCAGCAGUGGGGAAUAUUGCGCAAUGGCCGCAAGGCUGACGCAGCGACGCCGCGUGUGGGAUGACGGUCUUCGGAUUGUAAACC